CUUCCUCUUCCUCUCUCUCUCUCUCUUCUCCUCUUCUCUUCACCUAUGGUGGAUCUCUCUCAUCACCCAUAAUCUUCUUCAAGGUGUUAUAGUACAGAGAAAGAGAUGGGUGUUGUGUUCACCACCCAUAAUCUUCUUCAACAUCAGUCCACUGCCAUAGCAACUCCGCGACUGUCCACCACCAUUGAAAAGGAAGAUCAGCAAAGAACAAAAACCCAAUGCAGCAUCAACACCCAUCCUCGCUCUUCGCUACCGACGCUGAAUUCCCCAAAUCAGAGGUUUACUGAUUUAUGAUGGAGCAAUUGGGGCAUCAGAGGCUAACAUGUUUGCUUGUGGCAUGGUCGACAUUGCUUGUUCAAAUCUUCUUCAUUCAUGCUAUGGAUUGUAGUCAACAUAAUGGGUGAGAAACUAAAAGAAGCUUUUCAUUGUGAAUUUUCUUUCACUGCCUUUCUAUUGGUUUUAUUAUGAUAAUCUCUUAUAUUGUUUCCUAACUUCAGUUACAAUGUUUGACCAUUAAAACCGUAGAUUAAUUGUUGCAAAGUUUACAAGUAAAACUGCUACAAGUGGUUUAUGAAGCUUGGCUAUGUUAAAUGUAACUGAAGGUGUUGCCUUUGCUCAUUCACUUUGAUGCCACUUAUGGUGAACCAUAAGUGUCUUCCCUUUUUUUUUUUGGUUUGAUCGGCAAAAAAAAAAAUCCUUUGUUGAUGAAUAAAGAAAUCAUUACACUUAUUGAUGAACCAUAGGUGUCUUGAUGCAUUAAGAAUUGAUACACCUAAUAAACAGAACACAAAACACAAACAUGAAUAAGAAUAAGAAACAAGGAUCAAAUAUAAAUGAACACAAAAAAUUUACAUGAUUCUUUCCAAAAACUAGUUGUGGAUUGUAAUAUGACCAGAAAGUCAUAAUAUCUAGAGCUAGCCUUUUCUCCCCUCAAUUAUAAGUACAUAGAAAUUAGAGCAACAUGUGUGUAAAAAUAUCAAAAUAUCCUUACUCUAAAAUUUGGGAUCAAAUGGUUAGUAUUCAGUUCUUAUCAGGAUCCACACCACCCUAAAAUGAUGCUCCAGCUAAUGUGGCUUGAUUCAUCCCAACCAUUCCUCUCCCGGUAGAUAAGGCUAAAAUAGUAAUUUCAAUAU
Molecule: non-coding RNA, 1133 nt
Organism: Camellia sinensis
Lineage: Eukaryota; Viridiplantae; Streptophyta; Magnoliopsida; Ericales; Theaceae
Source: RefSeq, a predicted model, not a curated record